UGGUUCUGGCAUCGAUGAAGAACGCAGCGAAAUGCGAUAAGUAAUGUGAAUUGCAGAAUUCAGUGAAUCAUCGAAUCUUUGAACGCACAUUGCGCCCGCCAGUAUUCUGGCGGGCAUGCCUGUUCGAGCGUCAUUUCAACCCUCAAGCCCCCCGGGCUUGGUGUUGGGGAUCGGCCGCCCUCCGCGGUGGCCGGCCCCGAAAAACAGUGGCGGUCUCGCCGCAGCUCCCUCUGCGUAAUAGAAAUACCUCGCACCGGGACGCGGCGCGGCCUCGCCGUAAAACCCCCAACUUCUGAAAGGUUGACCUCGGAUCAGGUAGGAAUACCCGCUGA
RNAcentral lists this unclassified non-coding RNA (332 nucleotides) under uncultured fungus. RNAcentral's name for it is "partial contains 5.8S ribosomal RNA and internal transcribed spacer 2". The stretch from base 1 to 133 matches the Rfam family "5.8S ribosomal RNA", at positions 22 to 154 of the family's 154-position model. The record is from RNAcentral. Lineage: Eukaryota; Fungi.